GAAAAGUAGAAUGCUAAAAAACAUUUGUAAGUGUUUUUAUUCACAGAGAUGGGUUCAAAUAGUAAUAUUUACAUUAGUAACUGUUUUUAAUAUUAAUAACCGAGUAUAUAUGUGAUUUUGAUAUAAAAAUGAGAAUAUUUUAUAAGUGGAGAAAAUGCUGUAAUUUUCUCUUCUCCUUCACGCAACCGUACUUCUCAAAUGGUACAGUAGUCUUUGAAGUUCACCGGGUCUCUUUAUGGACAACUGCUUUGCAUCAAUCUCCUCCUCCUCCUCCAGACACUACAAAAAAAUGUAGGCAGUUUAGAGUGAGUGGUUAAAUAAUACAACAAAAUCAAAAGGCAGUACAAAUCAAAUCAGUAAAGCAGUGCAAUGGUAAAAAAAUCAAAUCUGAAAAGCAGUGCAAUGCACAGAGAUAUGGACGAAUAUUACACAGUUGUACAGUCGACUAGACAUGUUCAUUAAAGACCACAAGAAAAAUUACAACGGAACUUUAUAAACAGUAAUUUGAUUGACGGGUUGGCAGACAUUGUCAAAAUGCCUCGAGAUGAUGCAAGGCGGUGGUACAAAUUCUUCACACCGGGUAAUACGCAAACAUAACCGUUGGAUAUCGAUUCGAGGAACGUGGUGGAAUUGACGCAGAUAGCGCAAAAUAGGUAUGGCGCAUGGGAUAUUUUCUGAGUUAAUAUAUCUGAUUCAAUAAGGAAAUAUAUUUGAAUCAAUGAAUAUUGAACAUCGAUAAUUAUUUUUCCAAAAUUUCUGCAUUUAAGGGAUAUGAACGUGUGCUUACAUUUAUGGGGAAAAUGAUUUAAGAGAUGACGAAAUCAAUGAAUACAGAGACUACGCGCGACCGAGCAGGUGACGUUUACAAAUGAACGGGAAUGCUGGAAUCGAAAUCAGAAAAACCUGAGGCAAGAUCGGAAUGCAUGAACGACGACUAUAUAUGGCGAGUAUGGAGAAGAGGAGAGAAAAUCAGUCUUCCGUCGGGUGACAUAAUGACUCGGGGAAGAAAAAUUAAAUGAGACAACCAAGCUACAGCAACAGGUAAGGUGGUGGCAGGACAAUCACGACCACCGUACCACCGCCGGUCUAAUCGGAGAGCUCGCCGCUGACAUCUACAACGGACGAUCACGCUUCGCCUAGCCAACAGACGGCAGAUCGGGUGUCUCACAGAACAAAUACCGUUCCUGAACUACCUCCUGUUGAAUUACAAUCCGGCACAGGCGGAGUCAUCAAAAAGAACGGAUUUUAUCAACACCGAACCGCCCGUCCUGUUCGCAGAGGAAGAAGCAGCUAAACAAGAUAUAACCACAUAUAAUCGGAAUCGGACAAGUUAUCUGCGGUCCGACGAUAGAUACGACAGAAGAACCAAGAAAUCAUCCCUUUUGGAUUUCCGCUAGCUCUGUUGAUCGUUGGAGGGAUUUAGAAAAAUAACUGUAUUUAGAAAGAAAAAUAAAAUGCUAAAAACAUUUGUA
This 1472-nucleotide long non-coding RNA is filed under the name Zostera marina. RNAcentral's name for it is "long non-coding RNA (ZMAR_LNC001126)". The record is from RNAcentral. Lineage: Eukaryota; Viridiplantae; Streptophyta; Magnoliopsida; Alismatales; Zosteraceae.